Molecule: ribosomal RNA, 263 nt
Filed under: uncultured bacterium
Lineage: Bacteria
Description: partial 16S ribosomal RNA
Rfam family: Bacterial small subunit ribosomal RNA
Source: RNAcentral
UACGUAGGGUCCGAGCGUUGUCCGGAAUUAUUGGGCGUAAAGGGCUCGUAGGCGGUUCGUCGCGUCGGGAGUGAAAACUCGGAGCUCAACUCCGAGCCUGCUUCCGAUACGGCAGACUAGAGGUAGGUAGGGGAGAAUGGAAUUCCGGUGUAGCGGUGAAAUGCGCAGAUAUCGGGAGGAACACCGGUGGCGAAGGCGGUUCUCUGGGCAUUACCCUGACGCUGAGGAGCGAAAGUGUGGGGAGCGAACAGGAUUAGAACCCG